Klebsiella pneumoniae IS39 is the source of this 117-nucleotide non-coding RNA. The record is from Rfam. Lineage: Bacteria; Pseudomonadati; Pseudomonadota; Gammaproteobacteria; Enterobacterales; Enterobacteriaceae.
CUUACCGGAGAUAGUUAUGGACCCCGAUCCCACUCCUCAUCCUCGAUGGAGCAACCUUUCUUUCCGGUAAGCCUGUUUAACACUGCUUUACCGGAAAGCGUAAAGCAGUGACGUCCU